UUCAGAGGAGCUCCGGGAUGCGCUGUCGGCGUUCCAGCAGACGUUUGUGGUGUCUGAUGCGACGAAGCCGGAUAACCCGAUCAUGUAUGCCAGCGCUGGAUUUUUCAAGAUGACGGGGUAUCUCUCGAAGGAGGUGAUCGGGCGCAACUGCCGGUUUCUACAAGGCGCUGGAACAGAUUCAGCAGAGAUUUCAAAGAUAAGAGAAGCACUUGUUGCCGGACAAAGUUAUUGUGGUCGUGUAUUGAAUUAUAAGAAGGAUGGGACACCCUUCUGGAACCUUUUAACAGUAGCCCCGAUCAAAGAUGAAGCAGGAACUGUUCUCAAGUACAUUGGAAUGCAAGUGGAGGUUAGUAAGUAUACAGAAGGAUCAAAAGAUACAAUGCUCCGUCCAAAUGGAUUACCAGAG
Molecule: unclassified non-coding RNA, 406 nt
Filed under: Hevea brasiliensis (rubber tree)
Lineage: Eukaryota; Viridiplantae; Streptophyta; Magnoliopsida; Malpighiales; Euphorbiaceae
Source: RNAcentral